CAGACCAUACUUUAAGAUAAGGUUUUCAUUUACAUUGGAAAAUGUAUCGUGCAAUUCGAUAUGGUUUGA
RNAcentral lists this transfer RNA (69 nucleotides) under Panesthia strelkovi. Its description in RNAcentral is "tRNA-Val". The record is from RNAcentral. Lineage: Eukaryota; Metazoa; Arthropoda; Insecta; Blattodea; Blaberidae.